UGAGGAAUAUUGGUCAAUGGGCGAGAGCCUGAACCAGCCACGUCGCGUGAAGGAAGACUGACCUUACGGUUUGUAAACUUCUUUUGUAGAGGGGUAAUGGCAGAUACGUGUAUUUGCGUGAAAGUACUCUACGAAUAAGCAUCGGCUAACUCCGUGCCAGCAGCCGCGGUAAUACGGGGGAUGCGAGCGUUAUCCGGAAUUAUUGGGUUUAAAGGGCAUCUAGGCGGUAAGACAAGUUGAAGGUGAAAACCUGUGGCUCAACCAUAGGCUUGCCUACAAAACUGUUGAACUAGAGUACUGGAAAGGUGGGUGGAACUACACGAGUAGAGGUGAAAUUCGUAGAUAUGUGUAGGAAUGCCGAUGAUGAAGAUAACUCACUGGACAGAAACUGACGCUGAAGUGCGAAAGCUAGGGGAGCAAACAGG
This 425-nucleotide ribosomal RNA is filed under the name Verrucomicrobiota bacterium. RNAcentral's name for it is "Verrucomicrobia bacterium partial 16S ribosomal RNA". It matches the Rfam family "Bacterial small subunit ribosomal RNA", at positions 355 to 776 of the family's 1533-position model. The record is from RNAcentral. Lineage: Bacteria; Pseudomonadati; Verrucomicrobiota.